This 71-nucleotide transfer RNA is filed under the name Microcoleus sp. PH2017_10_PVI_O_A. RNAcentral describes it as "tRNA-Tyr". It matches the Rfam family "tRNA". From Rfam's summary of the family: Transfer RNA (tRNA) molecules are approximately 80 nucleotides in length. Lineage: Bacteria; Bacillati; Cyanobacteriota; Cyanophyceae; Oscillatoriales; Microcoleaceae. The record is from RNAcentral. RNAcentral also lists the same sequence under 5 other names.
AAAAAGUUAGCUCAUAUGGAUAGAGCAAUCGACUGUAGAUCGAUGUGUAACAGGUUCGAGUCCUGUACUUU